AGCUUUGCGCAGUGGCAGUAUCGUAGCCAAUGAGGUUUAUCCGAGGCGCGAUUAUUGCUAAUUGAAAUAUAUGAGUAAAUAUGAGUACAUAUUAUAUAAUGUGUAAAUAAAUACUUGUAUGGUGGGACUUCUGC
Molecule: small nuclear RNA, 134 nt
Organism: Leptonychotes weddellii (Weddell seal)
Lineage: Eukaryota; Metazoa; Chordata; Mammalia; Carnivora; Phocidae
Product: U4 spliceosomal RNA
Source: RefSeq, a predicted model, not a curated record